Long non-coding RNA from Saccostrea echinata, 771 nucleotides. RefSeq lists it as uncharacterized. The record is from RefSeq and is a predicted model, not a curated record. The transcript is spliced from 5 exons. Lineage: Eukaryota; Metazoa; Mollusca; Bivalvia; Ostreida; Ostreidae.
AGAACCAGAAAUGGCAGAAUAAGAUUGUAGGGAAACAAGCCUUGUUACAAGGUUUGAGGGUCUCUGCUAGAAUCAUGUGGACCCCAGUGUAACAAAUCUAUGGAAAGAGAGAAAAUCUCAGCUCAAGGGUCAACAUGUCUUUAUUCCAAGAAAGAGUGUACAUAUGCCAGAAUCAUAUGGACCGCAGACUGGCCCUGGUGAUUCCGUUAAGAAAAAAUAGGAAAAAUCAGUGCUUGUGCUCAUUGGUCAUUGGACAAAGGGUCUAUGCCAGAAUUUUUUCAAGAACAGUCUGAAUGUGACAUGAAAAAAAUGAAGAAAAACAGCCUUCCUGUUUAUAAAUCUACAUUCUGACAAAGGGUAAGAAAGAAAUUCAGGAGUUCUUAAAUUGCCCUUGGAGUUCUUGGAUUGCAUCAAACUGCUAAAAGACCUCAACAAAAACAGCGUCUUGAAAAUAAAAAUGAAAAUAUUCAGUGAAAAAAAAAUGAUGAAAGAGCCACUAAAAAUCUUCAAGCCUUUGAGCUGAAAUCUGGAAGUCAAUCUGUGGACUUUAAUAGUAAGUCAUAAUUACUAAGUCAUCAUUUGUGUAUAAUAAAUACACUAAACUGUAAACACUUGUUAAAAUGUGUAUAAUUUUUAGAUAUAAUUUGUAUCUCGUAGACUUCAAUAGUUUCAUGUAAUUUAAGUAAUAAUGAAAAUUUCCUGUUGUCUAGCUAGAUUAGAAACUAUUAUUGUCCAAUUUUGGAUAUUGUGAAAUAAUUCAUCUAGUAUGCA